RNAcentral lists this non-coding RNA (44 nucleotides) under Chloropicon laureae. The record is from RNAcentral. Lineage: Eukaryota; Viridiplantae; Chlorophyta; Chloropicophyceae; Chloropicales; Chloropicaceae.
GAAGAGCCAGUGGAAAGGCAUGCAGACGAAGAAGAAAGCCAAGG